Molecule: ribosomal RNA, 367 nt
Filed under: uncultured organism
Description: bacterial LSU rRNA
Rfam family: Bacterial large subunit ribosomal RNA
Source: RNAcentral
CUUUACUAUAGCCUGGAAUUGGGUUCGGGCUUCGCUUGCGCAGGAUAGGUGGGAGGCAUUGAAGAUUUCCUUGUGGGGAAAUCCGAGCCAACGGUGAGAUACCACUCUAGCGAGGCUAGAAUUCUAACCUUCGCCCGUAAUCCGGGGAAGGAACAGUUUCAGGUGGGUAGUUUGACUGGGGCGGUCGCCUCCUAAAAGAUAACGGAGGCGCGCAAAGGUUCCCUCAGGCUGGUUGGAAAUCAGCCGCAGAGUGUAAAGGCACAAGGGAGCUUGACUGCGAGAGUGACAACUCGAGCAGGGUGGAAACACGGACUUAGUGAUCCGACGGCGCUGUGUGGAAGGGCCGUCGCUCAACGGAUAAAAGUUA